This is a long non-coding RNA of Zophobas morio, 2384 nucleotides long. RefSeq lists it as uncharacterized. Lineage: Eukaryota; Metazoa; Arthropoda; Insecta; Coleoptera; Tenebrionidae. The record is from RefSeq and is a predicted model, not a curated record. The transcript has 3 exons.
UUGACGAAGUAAUUGAAGAAAUUUGUUUGGAUGUUGCAAUUGCGAUUCGUGAUUGCUUGAAAAAUGCUUAUGAAAAUAUGUCAGACUUUGUGGGUAAUAUACAAGCAGUGAUGAAGAAAAAGAAGAUGUUUGUGGAAGAGUUGGAGAAACAAUUGUCUUACCUGAAAACUAGGUUGAAAUCAUAUUUGUAAAUGUGUAUAUACCAUCUCCAUCUAGAACCAACUCUAAUUAGGGAGGAAUCCGCGAUAAUAGUUUGGAAGAAAUUUUUUUAAUUAUUUGUAAUAUCACUGCGCUGUUGCCAAGUUCGUCGACGAAUGAGGAAUGAAUUUGGAAAUCUAAAAAUGAAACACUUACAAAUCCAUUCUAGAGUGUCCAUUUCUUCCAACUCCUCGUUAAAUACAUUUGCAGAACUAUCUAUAUUUACAACAUCCAGCUUAGAGGCUGUUAAGUAAAGAAUUUCUGUAACACGCCAAAUUGGGGGUGCCCAUAAAUGAAGUCUUGGAAAAACCCGUCCGCAUUACUGGAAAAGUUUUCACAAAAAUGGGCACCACGUCCUCAAAUAACAAAAUCGUCAACGACACAAGCACUGACAUCGGCAGCAUUUCUGUAUCAGGGUUGGAUGGCUUCGAUUGUGAAGAGUAAUCAUCCAAGCAGCAAACAACGAGACUUAUCCAUAAAUGCCAAAGAAUCAGUAGAACGCAUCGUAAACCUCUUCUCACAUGCAAGCCAUUGUCCUGUGACUGUCACGUUAACUUUCAAAGACGGAUCCGAAGACACUUUCCGCAUAGAUCUAAAAUAUUCUGUGGGAUGUUGCGCACGAUUCGACCAUAGCCAAAAAUCGUACAAAAUGUCAUACAGACUCGACAAUAAGAAGAUCAUUGAACGGUCGUAAACAAUGCCAAACAAAAGAAAAACGAAGAAGCUGACGAGUUGUUGAGGAAAGCUAGAGAGGCGAUGAGGCGACGGUUGCAUGACCAAGCUCUUGACCAUACUUAAGUUGUUAGGAAAAUUAGAAGUGAAGAAGGUGAGGUAUACAGUUCGAUUGGAGACAGUAUUUGCGCAGCAGGUUUAACUAUGGAGAGAGCAGAAAACUUACAAGCAGAGGAAGGCAAAUUUUCGAAAGCGAUGUCUUUCUUCUAAUGAUCGUUAGAAUCGGUGUAUAGUGGAGAGACCCAGCAGAAGAUACAUUUUUCCGAAUUGAAGAUAAGUGGAAACAGAAGUGUCACUGAAGCUAUGGGACUAAAAGAUGAAGCUUCUAAGAUGGUCCAGAACGAAGAAUAUGGAACGACCUUCGAUAAAUACGAGGUAACUUUGCGCAAACAUAAAGAAGCUAAAAGAAUAUACGUGGAAGACUCCUGAUUAAGAGAACAAUAUUUUUCUGAUCCUGUGAAACGUGUAGAACAGCAGAUUGAAGAAAUCAGUGCUGCAACAACAAUUACCAAGGAACGGAAACAGGAUCAAGAAGCUACAAAAUUGAUAGAAAUAGCCAAAACAGCAACCAAUCAACAUUGGUAUUAUCAUAGCCUUGACUAUCUUGCCGGGCUAAAACACUGACGAUCCAAAGUGAUGCAAUUAAAAUCAUUAAGAACGAAGAAUGUCAAGUCUAUUGUCUACUCGGAGAAACUUUAUACCAAGAAGGUAUGAGCCUGGAGAACGACGGAUCAUCAAAGAGGGCACAAAAAAAUUCGAUGAGGCAAAGUCUUGUUUUCAACUAUCUGUCAACUUGGACAUAUUUGGACAAGAGGCGGAAAGUCUCUUUCACAGAACUAUGUCUUGGGUCCAAGGAAAAGUUGGGUUGUUUCAAAACAAGCCUCAACAAAAUUUGCACAUCUCCGAACUGAAGAUCAGCGGAAAUAACAGCUUCUUUCAAGCGGCGAAGUUAAAAAACCAAGCCGUUGACAUGAUUAGAACUAGAAAUUAUCAAAUGGCUCUGAAUAAAUAUCCCGCCGCUUUGAGUAAAUAUCAAGAAGCUAAAAAAAAUCCGCGGAAGGUGCUAAGUAUCGAAAACAAGAUUUCUCGAAUUCUUUCACUUAUGAGCGAAAAAGAAGUGAAGACUUCAAACAGUUACGAAAGAGCAACGUAAGUAUGAUUUUGCUUUUAAAUGUCUUGAACGCGCUAGAAUCUUGGCAAAUCAAGUUAGUACAAUCGAAAUUAACAACGAAGAAAGCGACCCAGGCAACAUGAUGUCGUCUUUUUCACGUGAAUAAAUGGUCAUCAUUUACGUCAUAGUGACCAAAAAUUUCAUGUGAUGUUGACGUACCAAUGACGGUCAAAUGUCUCGUCUAAAUGACGUCAUUUUCUCACGAACUAUUGACGUGAUGUACUGACGUUUUAGAGUCGUCAUUUUGUAAAGAAUUAUUGACGUGAUUUACUGACGUCCUAGA